RNAcentral lists this ribosomal RNA (253 nucleotides) under uncultured bacterium. RNAcentral describes it as "partial 16S ribosomal RNA". It matches the Rfam family "Bacterial small subunit ribosomal RNA", at positions 524 to 776 of the family's 1533-position model. The record is from RNAcentral.
UACGGAGGAUCCAAGCGUUAUCCGGAAUCAUUGGGUUUAAAGGGUCCGUAGGCGGGCCAUUAAGUCAGGGGUGAAAGUCUGCAGCUCAACUGUAGAAUUGCCCUUGAUACUGGUGGCCUUGAGUUAUAGUGAAGUAACUAGAAUAUGUAGUGUAGCGGUGAAAUGCAUAGAUAUUACAUAGAAUACCGAUUGCGAAGGCAGGUUACUAACUAUAUACUGACGCUGAUGGACGAAAGCGUGGGGAGCGAACAGG